CAAAACAUGUCUUAUUGAAAAUAAUUUUAAGUCAAUCUGCCCAAUGAUAAUAUUUAAUGGCUGCAGUAUAAUUAACUGUACAAAGGUAGCAUAAUCAAUUGAUUUUUAAAUGAAAUCUGGAAUGAAAGGAUUAAUGAAAUAUAUACUGUCUCAUAUAUAUAUUAUGAAUUUAAAAUUUUAAUAAAAAUGUUAAAAUUUUUUUAUGGGACGAUAAGACCCUAUAGAAUUUUAUAUAAAAUUAAUUUUAUAUUAAAUAUAAAAUUUAAUUUUAUAUUUAAUUGGGAGAAUUAUUAAAUUUAAUAAAUUUUAAUUUUAAAUAACUUUAAUUUAAGAAAAUUAGAAUUGAUCUUUAAUUUAAAAUUUAUAGAAUAAAUUACCUUAGGGAUAACAGCGUUAUAUUUUUUUAUAGAUCGUAUAGAAAAAAAUGAUUGCGACCUCGAUGUUGAAUUAAGAUAAAUUUUAAAUGUAGAAGUUUAAUAAUUAAGUCUGUUCGACUUUUAAAAUCUUACAUGAUUUGAGUUCAAAUCGACGUAAGU
RNAcentral lists this ribosomal RNA (536 nucleotides) under Melipona mandacaia. Its description in RNAcentral is "partial 16S ribosomal RNA". The stretch from base 384 to 536 matches the Rfam family "Bacterial large subunit ribosomal RNA", at positions 2473 to 2626 of the family's 2925-position model. Lineage: Eukaryota; Metazoa; Arthropoda; Insecta; Hymenoptera; Apidae. The record is from RNAcentral.